UGGGAUAUAGCUCAGUGGUAGAGCAUUUGCCUAGCUUGCAUGAGGCCCAGGGUUCAACCCCCAAUCCCAC
RNAcentral lists this transfer RNA (70 nucleotides) under Heterocephalus glaber (naked mole-rat). It matches the Rfam family "tRNA". Rfam says of the family: Transfer RNA (tRNA) molecules are approximately 80 nucleotides in length. Lineage: Eukaryota; Metazoa; Chordata; Mammalia; Rodentia; Bathyergidae. The record is from Rfam by way of RNAcentral.